This 435-nucleotide ribosomal RNA is filed under the name Triticum aestivum (bread wheat). RNAcentral describes it as "partial small subunit ribosomal RNA". The record is from RNAcentral. Lineage: Eukaryota; Viridiplantae; Streptophyta; Magnoliopsida; Poales; Poaceae.
ACCUUUAAAGUGUGGCUGCAAAUCUGGGAUGCAGGAGGUGAAAAUUCAUUGUCUAAUCUGUUUCUCAGUUUCCUCUUUCAGAAACGAGAGAUUUUUCAAGACCUUGCUCCACUGCUGUGGCACUCCUUUGGCACUGUUGCUGCACUGCUCCAGGAGAUUGUGUCAAUUUACCCUUCACUUUCACCUCCUACUUUGUCGCCAGUUGCAUCAAACCGUGUCUGCAAUGCACUUGCACUUCUUCAGUGUGUUGCUUCACACCCUGAGACCAGGAUCCCGUUCUUGAAUGCUCACAUCCCACUGUACCUGUACCCGUUCCUGAAUACUACCAGCAAGACAAGACCUUUUGAGUACUUGAGGCUUACCAGCUUGGGUGUUAUUGGUGCUCUUGUGAAGGAAUCUCAACAGGAACUGUUAUUUUUGAAGCAAACAGGCUAA